This 241-nucleotide unclassified non-coding RNA is filed under the name plant metagenome. RNAcentral describes it as "partial contains small subunit ribosomal RNA, internal transcribed spacer 1, and 5.8S ribosomal RNA". The record is from RNAcentral.
UUUUCGUAGGUGAACCUGCGGAAGGAUCAUUAUUGAAUGAAACACUUCUGGCUUUAUGCUGUUGUGCUGGCCCUUUGGGCAAUGUGCACACGGCUCUGGUCACUUGUUUCUUCUGUUCCACCUGUGCACUGCCUGUAGACACGCUGUGUCUAUGAUAUUUGUUAACACACAACAAUGUUAGUUGGCAUGUUAUAUAUAAUAAUAAAAUAUACAACUUUCAACAACGGAUCUCUUGGCUCUC